AAUUUACAAUGUGUAAUCAACUUAAAAUAUCAAAUUCCAAAUACAAAGAAUUUAUCCGAUGGAAGAAAAUAUCCCCCAAAUCCCUCAGUCUAUAAAGGUAUUGAGCCCAAAUAGUUCAGGCAAUAAAAACAUUGGGUUAUAGAUUUUGGACUCUGACCAAAUGUUCAAAUCUAAAUGGUCUUGUUUGGGCUGGUGUUCUGUCAAACUCAUCCCCUAAAUCCCUCAGUUCCAGACUCCCAAGUGGAGUCCGCAUAAUGCAUUCUGCAGAAGAAAUUUCAAUAGCCACUUUCAUUGCCUUUACACAAGUGGAGUCUGCAUAAUGCAUUCUGUUUCUAAAACCUAACAAAAAGGUAAUUACAUCUCUUGUUUUGUCCCCCAAAUUCUUCAUUUCACUCUUUAGUGCUUGCCAAAUUUUACUUUUCCAACUUUAUUUACCAAGACCAUGUUGCUCAACCUCGGUUUUAGUUGCGAUUUUAUUCUUUACUUUGUACGUAUGAACCCCACCCAGUCCCUAUCUUUAUAUUAUUUAUAGUAUAAUUUGGAUGCAAAAAGGUAAUGGGGUACAAACUUCUUGCUUCAUAAAGAAGCCAAGGUUAACAUUUGUGUUCCCUUUUCAUCAUUUCACCUUGCACCCGUACAUCUAAAAAUGAAAUUGUCCAUAACUUUUUUGACUUGCAAUGAUUAGUUUGGUCUAGCGGCACACAAUCUUCACUUAACAAAAAAAUGUUUCGAGUUUACUCACACAGAACGAUAAUAAUAUAUUUAUAAUGAGUUUGAUAGGGUGCAUGAAAGAGUGAACUACAAGGCUUUUGCAUAUAAAAUGCAUUUGAGCAUCACUGCCAAUAAUAAUUGGGAAGCCUUUCGUGGAAAAAUAAGCUAAAAUACAAAAUAAAAUUGAAAAGGAAUCCGAGGGCCAUGUUAUGAAUGUAUUGAACAAUGGUAAUUACUAAUUAGAACACUAGUUGAGAAUUAUGACACUUUGCAUGAUCAUUCCAUAUGGUUAUGAAUCAUGAUCAGUAAUCAUGAUCAAAUAAUCAUUUGUAAUUAGAGAAUUAAUUAUAUGUGGACUACAAUUCAAUAGACAGGUAGAACAAGGGCCUACACUUUAAGAAAAUUUGGUGUAAAGAUAGAGAGCAGCGGUAAAGCCAUGACUUAUAAAGUUUGCGGAAAGGAUAUACAUUGAUUCUUCUGAAUUUUGAUAGACUAUGAAAUAAACAGGAACGACAAAAUAAGAAUUCAAUUUCAAUUUUGGUUAGUGCUUGGAUUUUUCAAAUAAAUAAAGGGGUGUGAUAUCCACACACCUCAUUUUACUUCUCAUACACCUUUUUAAUUUUCGAUCGUCGGAUCGGAUGAAUUGAAGAAGAUCAAUGGACAAAAAUUAUCAAGAGGUGUGUGAGAAGUAAAAUAGGGUGUGUGGAUAGCACACCCCUAAACAAAUAUAUCAAAAAGCUAAAGGAAGCAUAAAAAUUUAGAGCGUAUCCAUAACUGUUUGUCCACAUAUCCAAAUUAUGGAAAUAGUAUUCUAGUUUUAUUUAUUAAAAAAUAAAAAAUAAAUUUUGGAUAUGUUGAUAUAAACUACAUUGGUAUGAAACUUGUCGUUAAGAAGUGUUAGUGUUAAAAACUCAGACAUAGUUAAAACGUAUUUGUCUUGAGUGUUACUUUCAGUCUCAAUACAGCAAGAUGGCUUCAUAAGAAGAGAGAAUAGGCGUGCCACUGUGGGAGUGUUUAUGAAAGUUCUGCAUAAAAUCAGACUUUUUAACCAAAUGAUUGUGCAACAAAUGAGACGCUAGUUUGGUUAAGUUUUUUAUUUAUUUAUUAUUUUUUAUUUUUAUAUGCUUCGGCGAACGAGGACUUAAAAUCCAAUUUGAAAAUAAGUGUUUGCCUAAGUUAAAAUUGAAAAUAAGAUAAGAGUAGAGACAAAAAAUUGAAUGUAAUCAUUUCACGAUGGAAUCGAGAAUGUAAGCGUUUAUAAAAGAGAAUUGGGCUGAUGAACCAAUCUACAUGACUUAAAAAAUAAAUAAAUUGUAAAAUAUAAGGAAAGCAGUAAACUUUAGCAAUUUCCAUGCUAUGUAAUUAAGGUAGAAUAAUGCUAGAGGAAUUGUUUUAUCACGGGGGUGGACUGAAGGGAAAACUUUGUCUCAAAGAGGUGAUUAGUUUUGGUUGGAAUGUUCAUUAACUGAAUCAUACCAUGAGGUUGCAAUUGUCACAGCCCGUCCCGAAAUAUUUAUUUUCAACAGCGUGAGAUUACUUAUUUACUCUUGGAUGUUUUGUGUGGUUAUGUGGGUGAAGUUUUAUUUGGACCAAUUCAAAGAUUUUCCUAAGUUUUUGGAACAUUUGGGACUUAAAGAGUUUGUUUUGUGUAUUGGAAGACCUUAGGGCUGGUUUGGUAUUGCUGUGCUUUGAAAAAAAACUGAUGUGAGAAUAAGCGGCUGUGCUGUGAGAAUAAGCGGCUGUGAAAUAAAUCAGCAGAGUGUUUGGUAAACUUUUUUGUAAAAGUGCUUUUGGAAAAAAAAAAGCAGUCUAAUAGUGGAUCUUUUCAUUAAAGGAGCACUGUAGUUCUAUGUGCUUUGAAAAAAAACCAGUUUUCCAAAGCUACAAAUUGCAGCUUCAGCUUUUUCCUUUGAUUUCA
This 2629-nucleotide long non-coding RNA is filed under the name Malus domestica (apple). RNAcentral's name for it is "long non-coding RNA (MDOM_LNC007976)". Lineage: Eukaryota; Viridiplantae; Streptophyta; Magnoliopsida; Rosales; Rosaceae. The record is from RNAcentral.